AAGUCGUAACAAGGUUUCCGUAGGUGAACCUGCGGAAGGAUCAUUACCGAAAAAAAAUACUCAAAUAUGGUGGGUGUGCAAAUUGAAAAGCCAUGUAUAUGUUGUACAUGGUGAUUCUCGCACGUCUGCCAUUUUGUGUUAAACCCCUUGUGUGAACACUGUUUUCUAUGUGCUUGUCAAUGGCGGAAAGCAUGCGCGCACAAGUGCAUGCAUGCCCUUCUACCAUUUUCUUGCACAUGAUCUACACCAUUUUAUCAUCAAUGCCAAUCUUUUGGACUUAAUCUGACAUUGAUUGGAGCUGUCAAAAGCAAAAAUCAAAAUAACCAAAACAACUUUUAACAACGGAUCUCUAGGCUCUC
RNAcentral lists this unclassified non-coding RNA (359 nucleotides) under fungal sp. RNAcentral's name for it is "partial internal transcribed spacer region". The stretch from base 1 to 46 matches the Rfam family "Eukaryotic small subunit ribosomal RNA", at positions 1786 to 1831 of the family's 1831-position model. Lineage: Eukaryota; Fungi. The record is from RNAcentral.